CCCGGUCAGGCGGGACUACCCGCUGAGUUUAA
This 32-nucleotide ribosomal RNA is filed under the name Myriophyllum spicatum. RNAcentral describes it as "partial 26S ribosomal RNA". Lineage: Eukaryota; Viridiplantae; Streptophyta; Magnoliopsida; Saxifragales; Haloragaceae. The record is from RNAcentral.